Molecule: microRNA precursor, 61 nt
Organism: Gadus morhua (Atlantic cod)
Lineage: Eukaryota; Metazoa; Chordata; Actinopteri; Gadiformes; Gadidae
Gene: gmo-mir-9-1
Product: gmo-mir-9-1
Source: Ensembl
UCUUUGGUUAUCUAGCUGUAUGAGUGGCAUACAUUCUUCAUAAAGCUAGAUAACCGAAAGU